Small nucleolar RNA from Micropterus dolomieu (smallmouth bass), 131 nucleotides. RefSeq annotates it as small nucleolar RNA SNORA44. The transcript has a single exon. Lineage: Eukaryota; Metazoa; Chordata; Actinopteri; Centrarchiformes; Centrarchidae. The record is from RefSeq and is a predicted model, not a curated record.
CAGCAUGCUAUCCUAAGGACCAGCGCUUGACUGUAGCUCUAGGUUCUCCAAGUGCAUGCAAGAGAAUUGGGUGGUCUUUGACUGUUGUGGCCCCUUCGUGCCAUCAGCAGCCACUCUACUGUCCUACAGAG